UCCUUCAGGUCCGGCGGCUCCCUUCAGGUGGUGCGGCGGCUCCCUUCGGGUGGCGCGGCUCCUGCAGCUGAUGAUUCAAUUCAAAGACACGUGGGCAGUCUGACCAAAACAAGAUGAAGAGCUGUUAACAUGUAUGCUACACCACGCUGCCUCACCUGCUUCAACAUCUGGUGUUUCCUCGCUCUGAGAACUCUGAUCUGUGCUGCAGCUGGAAGGAUUUUCUUU
Molecule: long non-coding RNA, 225 nt
Organism: Labrus mixtus (cuckoo wrasse)
Lineage: Eukaryota; Metazoa; Chordata; Actinopteri; Labriformes; Labridae
Exons: 3
Source: RefSeq, a predicted model, not a curated record